CACGUAGGUGGCGAGCGUUGUCCGGAAUUACUGGGUGUAAAGGGCGUGUAGGCGGGAGAGCAAGUCAGAUGUGAAAGCCCAAGGCUCAACUUUGGGACUGCAUCUGAAACUGUUCUUCUUGAGUACUGGAGAGGGAAGCGGAAUUCCUAGUGUAGCGGUGAAAUGCGUAGAGAUUAGGAGGAACACCAGUGGCGAAGGCGGCUUCCUGGACAGAGACUGACGCUGAGGCGCGAAAGCGUGGGGAGCGAACAGGAUUAGAUACC
This 263-nucleotide ribosomal RNA is filed under the name uncultured bacterium. RNAcentral describes it as "partial 16S ribosomal RNA". It matches the Rfam family "Bacterial small subunit ribosomal RNA", at positions 524 to 786 of the family's 1533-position model. The record is from RNAcentral.